RNAcentral lists this transfer RNA (84 nucleotides) under Kalmusia sp. IMI 367209. RNAcentral describes it as "tRNA-Ile". It matches the Rfam family "tRNA". Rfam says of the family: Transfer RNA (tRNA) molecules are approximately 80 nucleotides in length. The record is from RNAcentral. Lineage: Eukaryota; Fungi; Ascomycota; Dothideomycetes; Pleosporales; Didymosphaeriaceae.
GGUCGGUUAGCUCAGUUGGUUAGAGCGUGGUGCUAAUAUACACUGUUAACGCCAAGGUCGCGGGUUCGACCCCCGUACUGACCA